GAUAUCAUCACCCUCAACUUGACAUCAACUUGACAGCUCAAACAGUGUUAGCUAUCAGUUGCAUGUUAGCAUUUAACAGACACAGAGCGACAUUAGCAUUAUUUGGUGUCGUGUUUCUUGCCACAAGGUGACUGUCAAGAGGACAUGAUGUGCCGUGAAGUCUGUUAGCAGAGACUGAACCUCAGAAGACUGAACAGAGGGUCCUUCAGGAGCUGAUGCGGGUAUCUGCGACAUCAGGAGCCCAGACGCUGCCGUCCAUGUUCACCUGACACGAGGAUGUGUUUCAGAUAACACAAAAUGCAGAUAAAUCACACACCAACAUGAACCCUUGCUCAUCACACUUCCUUCUGUUCAACCAAACAAAAAUCUUUAUCAGUCAAAAUCAUUAUUCUCUUUGACAAGCCUCUGCUUGACGCUGAGUCAUAGUGACACCAGGUACACUAAUGAAUAUUAACUUCACAGUCUAAUCAUUUGCCUUUUAGAUUACUACUUGAACCUGUAAUGUGAAAAAUAAUUGAGUGGCUGAAGAAGUAUUCAGGCGUGACACCACAGGUGUAUUUUGCUUUCAUAACAUGUUGUCUUUCAGACCAGUAAAAAGAAAUUGUCCCAAAUACACAGAUGUUUAAGAUCAGAUUUCUGUGAAUUAGAUAAUGCUUUGUUUGAAUAUUUAAACAUAACAUUGAUGUAAACUUGUAAUAAAUAAAGUAAUUGUCUUAAUGUAAGAGAUACACUGGGGAAGUUUCAUGGUGAUAUCUAUUAACAGUUUUACCCUGACUGCCCAUUAGAUCUAAAAUUUACUCUGUUACAAGGGCACCAAUGCAAUCAAAAUUUUACUGAAAUAAAAGUAUGUAAGUAUCAUCAGCAAAA
This is a non-coding RNA of Epinephelus lanceolatus (giant grouper), 867 nucleotides long. Lineage: Eukaryota; Metazoa; Chordata; Actinopteri; Perciformes; Serranidae. The record is from RefSeq and is a predicted model, not a curated record.